GUGGGGAAUUUUGGACAAUGGGCGAAAGCCUGAUCCAGCAAUACCGCGUGUGUGAAGAAGGCCUUCGGGUUGUAAAGCACUUUUGUCCGGAAAGAAAUCCUUUGGGUUAAUACCUCGGAGGGAUGACGGUACCGGAAGAAUAAGGACCGGCUAACUACGUGCCAGCAGCCGCGGUAAUACGUAGGGUCCGAGCGUUAAUCGGAAUUACUGGGCGUAAAGCGUGCGCAGGCGGUUUUGUAAGACAGAUGUGAAAUCCCCGGGCUUAACCUGGGAAUUGCAUUUGUGACUGCAAGGCUAGAGUGUGUCAGAGGGGGGUAGAAUUCCACGUGUAGCAGUGAAAUGCGUAGAGAUGUGGAGGAAUACCGAUGGCGAAGGCAGCCCCCUGGGAUAACACUGACGCUCAUGCACGAAAGCGUGGGGAGCAAACAGGAUUAGAUACCCGAGUAGUCC
Molecule: ribosomal RNA, 450 nt
Filed under: uncultured bacterium
Lineage: Bacteria
Description: partial 16S ribosomal RNA
Rfam family: Bacterial small subunit ribosomal RNA
Source: RNAcentral